GGCGAACGCUGGCGGCGUGCCUAACACAUGCAAGUCGAGCGAGGAGAGUUCCUUCGGGAACAAACCUAGCGGCGGACGGGUGAGUAACACGUGGGCAACCUACCUUGUAGAGGGAAUAGCCUUCCGAAAGGAAGAUUAAUACCGCAUAACAUUACAGUUUCGCAUGAAACAGUAAUUAAAGGAGCAAUCCGCUACAAGAUGGGCCCGCGGCGCAUUAGCUAGUUGGUGAGGUAACGGCUCACCAAGGCGACGAUGCGUAGCCGACCUGAGAGGGUGAUCGGCCACAUUGGGACUGAGACACGGCCCAGACUCCUACGGGAGGCAGCAGUGGGGAAUAUUGCACAAUGGGGGAAACCCUGAUGCAGCAACGCCGCGUGAGUGAUGAAGGUUUUCGGAUCGUAAAGCUCUGUCUUCGGGGACGAUAAUGACGGUACCCGAGGAGGAAGCCACGGCUAACUACGU
This 462-nucleotide ribosomal RNA is filed under the name uncultured bacterium. Its description in RNAcentral is "bacterial SSU rRNA". It matches the Rfam family "Bacterial small subunit ribosomal RNA", at positions 28 to 506 of the family's 1533-position model. The record is from RNAcentral.